Molecule: ribosomal RNA, 253 nt
Filed under: uncultured bacterium
Lineage: Bacteria
Description: partial 16S ribosomal RNA
Rfam family: Bacterial small subunit ribosomal RNA
Source: RNAcentral
UACGGAGGGUGCGAGCGUUGUCCGGAAUCACUGGGCGUAAAGGGCGCGUAGGCGGCGCGGAAAGUCAACGGUGAAAGCUUGGGGCUCAACCCCGAGUCGGCCGUCGAUACUUCCGUGCUCGAGCACUGUAGAGGCAGGUGGAAUUCCGGGUGUAGCGGUGGAAUGCGUAGAGAUCCGGAAGAACAUCGGUGGCGAAGGCGGCCUGCUGGGCAGUAGCUGACGCUGAUGCGCGACAGCGUGGGGAGCAAACAGG